AUAUCACUCAGCAGAGGAAAAGAAACUAAAUAGGAUUCCCCCAGUAACGGCGAGUGAAGAGGGAAAAGUCCAAGCCAAAAAUCGGAGGGGUUUACCCCGCCCGAAUUGUAGUUUUGUGAGUAGUCUUGUGGUAGGACGGCACUGUGAUAAGUCCCUUGGAACAGGGCGCCACAGAGGGUGAGAGCCCCGUAUUUGCACAGGUCCAGCCUACCCCAUUUCUAUUUCUGUGAGUCGGACAACUUGGGAGUGUUGUCCUAAUGCGGGUGGUAUGUUCCAUCCAAGACUAAAUAUUGACAAGAGACCGAUAGCGUACAAGUACCGCGAGGGAAAGAUGCAACAGAACUUUGAAAAGAGAGUUAAUAAGUCCUUGAAAUUGUUAAGGGGGAAGCGGUACAUAUCUCAGUAGCGGUAUAGCCAGAUCACUUGAGUGUUAGCUGCCUCUUCAUUCAGGAUUGGGAGGGGUCCUCAGGACCUCCCCAUCUUGGGUGAGGGGCAUCACUUUGGGCAUUCUGGUUAUACCGCACACAACAUCACUAGACUAGGGAGGAAAAGGGUUCUGGCGAGGUACCAACCAUCUGGUUGGGAUACGCCAGGGCACAUACUCU
Molecule: ribosomal RNA, 605 nt
Filed under: uncultured fungus
Lineage: Eukaryota; Fungi
Description: eukaryotic LSU rRNA
Rfam family: Eukaryotic large subunit ribosomal RNA
Source: RNAcentral